AUAUAUAUAUCAGUAUUAUCAUGACUUUAAUUAUUCCAAUAACCCAAAGCCAGUAGUAUUUGUUGUGUGUGUGUGUGUGUGUGUGUGUGUGUGUGUGUGUGUGUGUGUGU
Molecule: long non-coding RNA, 110 nt
Organism: Salarias fasciatus (jewelled blenny)
Lineage: Eukaryota; Metazoa; Chordata; Actinopteri; Blenniiformes; Blenniidae
Exons: 2
Source: RefSeq, a predicted model, not a curated record